RNAcentral lists this unclassified non-coding RNA (294 nucleotides) under uncultured fungus. Its description in RNAcentral is "partial contains small subunit ribosomal RNA, internal transcribed spacer 1, and 5.8S ribosomal RNA". The stretch from base 1 to 73 matches the Rfam family "Eukaryotic small subunit ribosomal RNA", at positions 1759 to 1831 of the family's 1831-position model. Lineage: Eukaryota; Fungi. The record is from RNAcentral.
GCAAACUUGGUCAUUUAGAGGAAGUAAAAGUCGUAACAAGGUUUCCGUAGGUGAACCUGCGGAAGGAUCAUUAUCGAGUAUCGGGGCCUCCGUGCCCCUACUCCCAUCCCAUGUUGACCUAUAACGUUGCUUUGGCGGGUCGGCGGGUUCGCCCGCCGCCGGGCGGCGCCUGGAGAGCGCCCGCCAGAGGAUCACACGAAACCCUUGGCAACCCUUGAGCGUCUGAGCACUUGAGAAUUGACUAAAACUUUCAACAACGGAUCUCUUGGUUCUGGCAUCGAUGAAGAACGCAGC